This 246-nucleotide ribosomal RNA is filed under the name uncultured bacterium. Its description in RNAcentral is "partial 16S ribosomal RNA". It matches the Rfam family "Bacterial small subunit ribosomal RNA", at positions 57 to 305 of the family's 1533-position model. The record is from RNAcentral.
GCAAGUCGAACGGUAACAUAACUAGCUUGCUAGUUGAUGACGAGUGGCGGACGUGUGAGUAAUACUUAGGUAUCUGUCCUUUGGAGGGGGAUAACCAUUGGAAACGAUGGCUAAUACCGCAUAUUAUCUACGGGUAAAAGUGGGCGCUUGAGCUCAUGCCAAGGGAGGAGCCUAAGCGAGAUUAGCUAGUUGGUAGGGUAAAGGCCUACCAAGGCGACGAUCUCUAGCUGUUCUGAGAGGAUGAUC